Molecule: ribosomal RNA, 554 nt
Filed under: uncultured Aspergillus
Lineage: Eukaryota; Fungi; Ascomycota; Eurotiomycetes; Eurotiales; Aspergillaceae
Description: eukaryotic LSU rRNA
Rfam family: 5.8S ribosomal RNA (bases 174-327)
Source: RNAcentral
UCCGUAGGUGAACCUGCGGAAGGAUCAUUACCGAGUGCGGGCCCUCUGGGUCCAACCUCCCAUCCGUGUCUAUCUGUACCCUGUUGCUUCGGCGUGGCCACGGCCCGCCGGAGACUAACAUUUGAACGCUGUCUGAAGUUUGCAGUCUGAGUUUUUAGUUAAACAAUCGUUAAAACUUUCAACAACGGAUCUCUUGGUUCCGGCAUCGAUGAAGAACGCAGCGAAAUGCGAUAAUUAAUGUGAAUUGCAGAAUUCAGUGAAUCAUCGAGUCUUUGAACGCACAUUGCGCCCCCUGGUAUUCCGGGGGGCAUGCCUGUCCGAGCGUCAUUGCUGCCCUCAAACACGGCUUGUGUGUUGGGCUUCCGUCCCUGGCAACGGGGACGGGCCCAAAAGGCAGUGGCGGCACCAUGUCUGGUCCUCGAGCGUAUGGGGCUUUGUCACCCGCUCCCGUAGGUCCAGCUGGCAGCUAGCCUCGCAACCAAUCUUUUUAACCAGGUUGACCUCGGAUCAGGUAGGGAUACCCGCUGAACUUAAGCAUAUCAAUAAGCGGAGGA